Molecule: ribosomal RNA, 360 nt
Filed under: uncultured bacterium
Lineage: Bacteria
Description: bacterial SSU rRNA
Rfam family: Bacterial small subunit ribosomal RNA
Source: RNAcentral
AGAGUUUGAUCCUGGCUCAGGAUGAACGCUAGCUACAGGCUUAACACAUGCUAAGGUCGAGGGGAAACGACAUCGAAAGCUUGCUUUUGAUGGGCGUCGACCGGCGUACGGGUGAGUAACGCGUAUCCGAACCUGCCCACCACUUGGGGAUAACCUUGCGAAAGUAAGACUAAUACCCAAUGAUAUCUCUAGAAGACAUCUGAAAGAAGAUUAAAGAUUUAUCGGUGAUGGAUGGGGAUGCGUCUGAUUAGCUUGUUGGCGGGGUAACGGCCCACCAGGGCAACGAUCAGUAGGGGUUCUGAGAGGAAGGUCCCCCACAUUGGAACUGAGACACGGUCCAAACUCCUACGGGAGGCAGCA